GGAUGCGAUGAGGACGCCGCCCGCAUAACCACAACAAGACUCAUCCACAGAGAGACCCAUGAACUUUGGAGAACCAGUGUGUAGCUUUAAAAACUUAACCCAACCAAAAGAAAAAGAAACCUGAACUCACUGAAGAAACUUGGGGUCGCCACUCACCGCCACGCUGUCCAGAGUACCCAGGCAGAGCGGCGUGCAGGAGACACUUCAACGCCUCCUGAGAGCUGCAGUUCUGAUUUUCCAUCUCAAUCAGCAGCAUCAGCGCAAGAGAGAAACCCACACCACCUCCAGAGACCCCCAGACAAUGGCCCUCACAUCAGUUUUCUACUCCCCCUCCUCAACCGAGGUAACUGAGUGUGACCUGGACCUGGCACCCUGACCUGGCAGGGAGUCAAAUCAACAAGCAUAGAAACGCCAGAGCUACAUGAUCCUGUUUUAUUCUGGCAAGCUUAUAAAACCUCAGACACUACAGCCAAAAUGCAGAGACAACAGGGACUGUAGAUGUCUUUUGUUAGAGAUAUCAAGGACAUAUGACACUUCAUAUCUCUUUUCAGCUAAUGGCUUUAGUUACUGUCUUAUCUUACUACACCGUUAAGAUGACAUCUAACCAGUUACUCAUUUUCUUUGUUGUUCCUUUGCAUUAAAAACACCUUCUUGGCCUCACUGA
Molecule: long non-coding RNA, 664 nt
Organism: Notolabrus celidotus (New Zealand spotty)
Lineage: Eukaryota; Metazoa; Chordata; Actinopteri; Labriformes; Labridae
Exons: 2
Source: RefSeq, a predicted model, not a curated record